This 253-nucleotide ribosomal RNA is filed under the name uncultured bacterium. Its description in RNAcentral is "partial 16S ribosomal RNA". It matches the Rfam family "Bacterial small subunit ribosomal RNA", at positions 524 to 776 of the family's 1533-position model. The record is from RNAcentral. RNAcentral also lists the same sequence under 1 other name.
UACGUAGGGUGCAAGCGUUAAUCGGAAUUACUGGGCGUAAAGCGUGCGCAGGCGGUUAUGUAAGACAGGUGUGAAAUCCCAGGGCUUAACCUUGGAACUGCAUUUGUGACUGCAUAGCUAGAGUACGGUAGAGGGGGAUGGAAUUCCGCGUGUAGCAGUGAAAUGCGUAGAUAUGCGGAGGAACACCGAUGGCGAAGGCAAUCCCCUGGGCCUGUACUGACGCUCAUGCACGAAAGCGUGGGGAGCAAACAGG